Molecule: ribosomal RNA, 267 nt
Filed under: uncultured bacterium
Lineage: Bacteria
Description: partial 16S ribosomal RNA
Source: RNAcentral
CUGCUGCCUUCCGUAGGAGUCUGGUCCGUGUCUCAGUACCAGUGUGGGGGACCUUCCUCUCAGAACCCCUACGCAUCGUCGCCACGGUGGGCCGUUACCCCGCCGUCUAGCUAAUGCGCCGCAUGCCCCAUCCUCUUCCGAUGAAUCUUUCCUCGAUCCUCGGAUGCCCGAAACCGNUAUACGCGGGAUUAGCCUCCCUUUCGGAAGGUUGUCCCCCUGAAGAGGGCAGGUUGCAUACGUGUUACUCACCCGUGCGCCGGUCGCCGG